Molecule: microRNA precursor, 67 nt
Filed under: Bombyx mori (domestic silkworm)
Lineage: Eukaryota; Metazoa; Arthropoda; Insecta; Lepidoptera; Bombycidae
Description: mir-2774 microRNA precursor family
Rfam family: mir-2774 microRNA precursor family
Source: Rfam by way of RNAcentral
ACAUUAUUUAGACCGUCGGUCUACCGAGCAAUUGCACAAGCUUGGUGGAAGUUCUUCCUUUUUUUGU